Molecule: transfer RNA, 84 nt
Filed under: Tetrahymena thermophila
Lineage: Eukaryota; Ciliophora; Oligohymenophorea; Hymenostomatida; Tetrahymenidae
Description: mitochondrial tRNA-Tyr (QUA)
Rfam family: tRNA
About the family: Transfer RNA (tRNA) molecules are approximately 80 nucleotides in length. Their secondary structure includes four short double-helical elements and three loops (D, anti-codon, and T loops).
Source: RNAcentral
GAGGUGGUGGCUGAAUGGUUAAAGCGGUAGACUGUAAAUCUAUUGGGAUUCCCGUCGCCGGUUCGAUUCCGGUCCACCUCACCA